UUAAUCUACACACAGACUGAGAUUACACAAACGGUCUGUGUAUAAACGGAUCGGUGGGUAGCUGACAUCACCGUAGACCGCUCACACCUGUUAUAUAUGGGCGGGUCCGCGCUCGGAUCAGCGCGACACGGUCUGAGCCGACUGAGGACAGCCGCUUCAGACCCGAUGGGUCAGAGACCGCCCCAUUCACGGCGAGGUCUGGACUGCACCUGCUUUAAAGCCCACAGCGGCCGGGACUUAUUACUGAACUGGAGCCGGUCAAGACGCAACACUGCAGGGUGAAUUCAUCUGGGCUGGGGGCUCCAGUUCUACAAGUGGAUCCACCCCGCCUCUAUCAGAACGUGACAGCAGGCAGGCGGUCUUUCAUACGACACGUGUCCCGGUCCGUCCAUCGGACAAGGACUCAGCGCUGAUGGACUCUUCCCUCUUCACUACUGAGGAAAUCCUGAUCUGUAACACAGCAGUAAACAGCCAUCUACACCAUUCCAAUAUGGCGUCUGACUUUGCGUACGCAACAAGCUAGCAUGAACCUGCAGUCAUGAAGCUCCUCAGAGCAGAGAAGCAGCGCGUACCUUGAUGAACCUCCCGACGAUCUGUGAGGUGUAUUUGGGCAGCGGCUGCACCUUCCCGUGGAGGAUGAGAGAAACCAGGAUGUACUUCUUAUAGGCUUCCAACAUGAUGUGACUCACCGCCAUGGCUGGAGUGGUUAUCGCCUGUGAGGAGAGAUCAGGAGAUCUAUAACAACCACACCAAACUGCUGCUGCUCCAUGAGUUACAAGAGGAAAUAAACAAAAGCGGAUCCCAAUGCAGAACUUUGAUCCAAACGGUCCUGGAGGGUCUUAGAUAAACUCACAACAAACUACAACAACACAACAGCUCCUGUGUGGUGACGGCUGUGUGGACAGACUCAGAGGAACAGGUGAGUAGCCCUACCUGUUC
Oryzias melastigma (Indian medaka) is the source of this 939-nucleotide long non-coding RNA. RefSeq lists it as uncharacterized. The record is from RefSeq and is a predicted model, not a curated record. NCBI's taxonomy places the organism in Eukaryota, Metazoa, Chordata, Actinopteri, Beloniformes, Adrianichthyidae. The transcript has 3 exons.